Molecule: non-coding RNA, 787 nt
Filed under: Microvelia sp. 1 WT-2019
Lineage: Eukaryota; Metazoa; Arthropoda; Insecta; Hemiptera; Veliidae
Source: RNAcentral
GACGCUCUUCCGAUCUUUUGAUUCUUGCUUUUAUAUUUAAAUUUUAAAUUAUUUUAUAUGUAUUAUUUCUAUUCUUAAUGAUUUUUUAUCAGUAUUUAAUUUUGGUUAUAUUUAUUAGAAGAUAAAACCAGGAUUUUAAUUUUAUAAUUGACAAAAAUUGUGCCAGCUGUCGCGGUUACACAUUUAAUUUAAUUAAAUAUUUUUGGUAAAAUAUUAAUUCUUUAAUAUAUUAAUAUAAUUAAAUAUUUUUAGGUGAAAUUUUUAUAUUUUAUAUUUUUAUUGGUUGAUGAUUAUUAUAUAUUAAAAUUAUUAAUAAACUAGGAUUAGAUACCCUAUUAUAAUAAUUGUAAAUUUUCUUUAAAAUUAAUAGUUAUUUUCUUUAAAUUAAAAGAAUUUGGCGGUUAUUUAAUCUUUCUAGAGGAACCUGUUUUAUAAUUGAUAAUCCACGAUUAAUUCUACUUUAAUUAUAACUUAUAUAUCGCUGUCAUUGAAUGUUUUAUUAGAUUAUUUUCUUAAAUUUUUAUGAAUUUAAUGUUAGGUCAAGAUGUAGUAAUAUUAAAGUAAAAAUGGGUUACAUUUUUUGUAAAAAUGGAUUGAUUAAUGAAAUUGUUUUUCAUGAAAUUGGAUUUAGGUGUAAUUUUUUAUAAAUAUAAAUUUUGAUUUUAGUUCUAAAUAAUGUACACAUCGCCCGUCACUCUCAUUAUUAAGUUGGGAUAAGUCGUAACAAAGUAGGCCUACCGGAAGGUGGGCCUGGUUAAUUCGAGUUAAUUCAUUUAGUGAAGUUAUU